GUUUCUGUGACGCAAUCGGUUAGCGCGUUCGGCUGUUAACCGAAAGGUUGAUGGUUCGAAUCCAUCCAGAAACG
RNAcentral lists this transfer RNA (74 nucleotides) under Dendronephthya gigantea. RNAcentral describes it as "tRNA-Asn". It matches the Rfam family "tRNA". From Rfam's summary of the family: Transfer RNA (tRNA) molecules are approximately 80 nucleotides in length. Lineage: Eukaryota; Metazoa; Cnidaria; Anthozoa; Malacalcyonacea; Nephtheidae. The record is from RNAcentral.